AUCGCUUCUCGGCCUUUUGGCUAAGAUCAAGUGUAGUAUCUGUUCUUAUCAGUUUAAUAUACACUAAAAAGGAAUGACAUUGAAAACAGCAUAAUAUCAAGUGAUGGGGAUGCUAGAACUCAGCUGAGAAGGGAAAUUUAUAGCCUCAAAUACUUAAAUUGGAAAGAAAAAUGUAU
RNAcentral lists this small nuclear RNA (176 nucleotides) under Myotis davidii. RNAcentral describes it as "U2 spliceosomal RNA". It matches the Rfam family "U2 spliceosomal RNA". Rfam says of the family: U2 is a small nuclear RNA (snRNA) component of the spliceosome (involved in pre-mRNA splicing). Complementary binding between U2 snRNA (in an area lying towards the 5' end but 3' to hairpin I) and the branchpoint sequence (BPS) of the intron results the bulging out of an unpaired adenosine, on the BPS, which initiates a nucleophilic attack at the intronic 5' splice site, thus starting the first of two transesterification reactions that mediate splicing. The record is from Rfam by way of RNAcentral. Lineage: Eukaryota; Metazoa; Chordata; Mammalia; Chiroptera; Vespertilionidae.